CAAGCCCAAGUGCUGCAAAUGAGAGGGCCCUGAAGCAAGGGUGCAAUCUCUGCUCGCUAAAUCACUGGGCUGUGCUCAUCGGCCAUAAACAUGUCACUGCUGAACUGGGUCAUUCCUCUGCGAGCGUGCACAUCAAAGCUGGCUCUGAUGUGGCCUCUGCCUGACAGUUGGUGAGACUUCCCCUCUCAUGUCCUAGUUCCAUCAAUUCUAAACAGGCAAAGUCCGGUCUGGUUUAGAAUGGUCCAGGCAAUUCAGGUGAGCGUUUCCACUCA
This 272-nucleotide long non-coding RNA is filed under the name Oryzias sinensis (Chinese medaka). RNAcentral describes it as "lncRNA (ENSOSIG00000017372.1)". Lineage: Eukaryota; Metazoa; Chordata; Actinopteri; Beloniformes; Adrianichthyidae. The record is from RNAcentral.